UGGGGAAUCUUGCGCAAUGGGCGAAAGCCUGACGCAGCAACGCCGCGUGGGGGAUGAAGCUUCUCGGAGUGUAAACCCCUUUCGACCCGGAAGAAUGCCCGCAAGGGCUUGACGGUACGGGUAUAAGAAGCCCCGGCUAACUACGUGCCAGCAGCCGCGGUAAAACGUAGGGGGCCAGCGUUGCUCGGAAUUACUGGGCGUAAAGGGUCUGUAGGCGGUGCGGCAAGUCGGAAGUGAAAUUUCAGGGCUUAACCCUGAAACUGCUCCCGAAACUGCUGUGCUCGAGUGCGAGAGAGGCGAGUGGAAUUGCAGGUGUAGCGGUGAAAUGCGUAGAUAUCUGCAGGAACAUCCGAGGCGAAAGCGGCUCGCUGGAUCGCAACUGACGCUGAGAGACGAAAGCUAGGGGAGCAAACAGGAUUAGAUACCCUGGUAGUCCUAGCCCUAAACGAUCAGGACUGGGCGUGGGCCCUGUACGGGGCUCGUGCCGGAGCUAACGCGUUAAGUCCUGCGCCUGGGGAGUACGGUCGCAAGGCUG
RNAcentral lists this ribosomal RNA (535 nucleotides) under uncultured bacterium. Its description in RNAcentral is "bacterial SSU rRNA". It matches the Rfam family "Bacterial small subunit ribosomal RNA", at positions 355 to 896 of the family's 1533-position model. The record is from RNAcentral.